This 482-nucleotide ribosomal RNA is filed under the name uncultured bacterium. Its description in RNAcentral is "partial 16S ribosomal RNA". It matches the Rfam family "Bacterial small subunit ribosomal RNA", at positions 28 to 506 of the family's 1533-position model. The record is from RNAcentral.
GACGAACGCUGGCGGCGUGCCUAACACAUGCAAGUCGAGCGGGGAUUUAAGUGGAAGUUCUUCGGAAUGGAGAUUUAAAUUCUAGCGGCGGACGGGUGAGUAACGCGUGAACAAUCUGUCCCGGACAGGGGGAUAACACUUGGAAACAGGUGCUAAUACCGCAUAAGACCACGGCCUCGCAUGGGGCUGAGGUAAAAGGAGCAAUCCGGUUCGGGGUGAGUUCGCGUCCGAUUAGCUAGUUGGUGAGGUAACGGCCCACCAAGGCGACGAUCGGUAGCCGGCCUGAGAGGGUGAACGGCCACAUUGGAACUGAGAGACGGUCCAAACUCCUACGGGAGGCAGCAGUGGGGAAUAUUGGGCAAUGGGCGAAAGCCUGACCCAGCAACGCCGCGUGAGGGAAGAAGGUUUUCGGAUUGUAAACCUCUGUCCUAUGGGACGAAGGAAGUGACGGUACCAUAGGAGGAAACCCCGGCUAACUACGU